CACGUAGGGGCGAGCGUUGUUCGGAAUCAUUGGGCGUAAAGGGCGUGCAGGCGGCCGCCAAAGUCCGGCGUGAAAGACCCAGGCUCAACCUGGGGGGUGCGCCGGAUACUGGGCGGCUUGAGUACAGGAGGGGACGGCGGAAUUCCAGGUGUAGGGGUGAAAUCUGUAGAUAUCUGGAGGAACACCGAUGGCGAAGGCAGCCGUCUGGCCAUGUACUGACGCUGAGGCGCGAAGGUGCGGGGAGCAAACAGGUUUAGAUACCCUGGUAGUCCCUGA
RNAcentral lists this ribosomal RNA (276 nucleotides) under uncultured prokaryote. RNAcentral describes it as "partial 16S ribosomal RNA". It matches the Rfam family "Bacterial small subunit ribosomal RNA", at positions 524 to 803 of the family's 1533-position model. The record is from RNAcentral.